ACCGCAUGACAUCCUGCCUUUUAAGAGGUGAACAUCAAAGCUGGGGAUCGCAAGACCUAGCGCUCGAAGAGGGGCCCGCGUCCGAUUCACUAGUUGGUGAGGUAACGGCUCACCAAGGCGACGAUCG
RNAcentral lists this ribosomal RNA (127 nucleotides) under uncultured Acidobacteriota bacterium. RNAcentral describes it as "uncultured Acidobacteria bacterium partial 16S ribosomal RNA". The record is from RNAcentral. Lineage: Bacteria; Pseudomonadati; Acidobacteriota.